UCUCAAAGAAAUAAAGAUGUUACCUAAUUUUUCUGAACUAAAUACUCACCUUGCUUUAGGACACCUUGAUGUGAUUACCAGUAGGAUCCAUGUAAUAUAUAAGAUUCCUCAGAUUAAAUCUGAGGACUGUUUCCUAUUUUUUCAUGAACUACGCUCUCUCUCAGCUGUAACAAAGGCACAAAGAGCUUAGGUCCUCCCAAUGGCAAUGUCUGCAAGGAAACUACCAUGGGAAAGGGCUGGCUGGAAAACAAGAAUACUCUGCUGUUGGAAACGGUGUAAUUUUGUUCAUUUCCAUUCCAGUGCAGAAGUGGCUGAGCAAUGUAUCUCGGAGCAGCUGCUCACCUGGGAUUUAGGGCAAUGAUCUCAACACUGCAGCCUUUUAAUGUGCAAAAAAAGAUCAGUGGUUAAUUUGCUACCCUGGAUCGGGUGGAUUACUCUCUGCUGUUCUUGCUGAGCCUUUCUCAGAAGGCUUUCCCAGGGUCAAGAUGAUCAAACCCUGGGGGAGAUGAGCCGACAGCAGCCCGCAGUCUGGGAUUAGGACCCUCUCCAGGGAACACGAGAACACUAUUUAGGCAGAGCAGAAAUUUCACUGCUGCUCAUGACCCAAACUCUUAGCUAUUCUGGAACCUUACUUCAGCAGGUUUCCUAUGUAUUUAAGAAAUCUCAUAUAAAAUUUUAUCGGAGCUGUUUCUGUGCGUGAGGUUUGCUGCUAUCACACUGAGCUACUGAACAUCUCGCUCCGUUGCUAACUGACUGGAGAGGAGUAGAUUUUAGGGAAACCAGUGCCCAGCUAAUGAGGAAAGCACUCUUUGCUGUGGACAAAGGACACGGUAGGCUGAUCUAUCAGCAAGCACAAGAAGAUAACCACUGCUUACCAGCACCUUUUUUUUCUCACAUUCCUGUGAUUAAUGCAGCAUACAAUUAGAGAGCCUAACCGGGCAGAAGUUUUGCAUCAGAGUCAAAGUGAGUGAGUUUUAGGAUGCAUAGUGUUUAUUUCCCCUUCAAACAUGUCUUUUGUUUUGUGCGUUUUAGGCUUCAUCUUAUCCUGUUGCCUUGUCUGUUGCUAGGUCAGUCUGCCAAAAAUAGGGAUGGUUGGGCCUUGGGAUAUUUGCCUGUGUUUCUGAAACCCUGGUACACAGUACACCUCACCAACUCAAAUUCAUUUCUCCCAGGCAAGGUGUACAGCAUAUAUGUUGUGCCUUUGGUGACAGAAAUGAGGAUUAAAAGCACUGAAGUUUCUGCAACUCCAUCUCUUCAAGCACUUUCUGAUAAUUCUACCAUGAAAUUAAAAAAACAGCAGGACCAGAGCAAACCUCACUGCUCCCCAGCAUCCUGCAUGGAGUCAGUGUCCCAUCGUGCCACUCUGUUGUCUCGGUGGUCAGAAUUCAGGUUCAUCUGCAGUGAGGUGCGCUGCAUCCCUGCCUUCCCUCACAGAUCACAAGAAGCCUGUCCUUGAAUGGGGUAAAUAAGGCCAAGCUUGUUAUUUGCUCUGUGGGACUGUUCUCCGCAAAGGAGACACACGCAGCCUUUGGAGAGCCACACUGAGCGUCCGGGCUGAUCUCCAGCACUGCUGCUGAUCGUCCUUGGUGCAUCGUUGCACUCCUCUGGUCUGUCUGGCAGCAGCCACUAGCACAACAACUAAUGUGCUAAGAGUCUUCCUGUCCUUUGGAGUCAGCUAAGCCCUAGAUGGUAACUGGUGCGCACUGUGUGGCUUUCUGUAGCGUUACUGCUGCAUUUAAGCUCUCCUCAGACUGGCGAUGUUCUGUUGAUUUCCUUAAUUCAGGCACUUAUCCCCCAAUGGUUUCACUUUCCUUUGGAUGAUAAUAGCAGGGAAGCUCUGCAACCGCCAGCAGAGCUGGGGGCUGAGGAAAUGCUACAAAAUCACCUCUCUCCCAGAAAUUGUUUUGUCUGCUGGCUUAACGGGAGCACUCUGGCUGCACAGCGGGUUAGAGGUUUUACCCCUAUUAUACUCACUUAAACUGCCACCUUUUUCUCAGUACUGACAUCAUUAGCUAUGACAUGUUGCUGAAGCUUUUCCACAGAGGUGACCCAGUCCUUGCUGAAGCUAUCAGACAAAGCUAAAAGCCAUAUAUAUAUAUAUAUAUGUUUAACUCUCUUCUUUCCAAUAUUGCUCACCCUGAAGCCAUGAGAGGUGCACAUCUAAUCCCACUAACUCCUUUCUGGUCCUUCUGUGCCACCAUAGCUAGAUGUGGAUUUCCAGUCCUGGCAUGCUUUCCUCACCCAGAAGUCCAUACUAGAGGUAUUUGCUAACCGUAUAGCAAUGUGAUGCCUGGAUUUGGUGAGGGAAGAGCCAGAGGGAAAAGACCUGUCAGAGGAAGAAGACCUGUCUUCUGCUGAAAAGGGAAAUCUUCACUUCCCAUACAGUUCAAACAGGAAGUUACACAUUUUUUUUUCUAUUCAUAAAACAUAAACAAAGCCAAAGGAAAAAAAAAUCAUUCUUCAGUGAUAGAAUUCUUGUAGGAGUACUGUACUGUGUCACUUGUCCUUGCAUUUAAAGGACCAGGCAGCAGUGAGCAGGGUAAGGUCACCCUCAGACUGGGACCUCUGCGAGCACCCCCAUUCCUAGGCAGGAGGCAUGGCAGGGUGCUGAGACUCACACCUCACUCAGGUGUCAUUGGCAGAUGUUCAAACCCCACAGAGCACAAGGAGCACCCUCAGCCUGCCCUCACUUCCCUCUGCUCUGUGACAUGUCACACAUGCCUUUCUUUACGUGUUUGCUGGGGAACAGAGGGCUGCCACCGUGCCCCCAGCAGCAACCAUGCAGCAGCAGCAGGGAUGCUUUGUCCCCCACUGCCACACACCUCCUCGCUUCCUUCUCCAUCUGAGACAUCACCUGGGCUUUUAGCAGCUGCCUGCAGCAAAGGAGAAUCCUGGUUUAUGAACACACUCACAAUUGCUGCAGUUCCAGCCAGGAAUAAACUGCUCUUAACCUAAAUACUCCUCUGAGGA
This is a long non-coding RNA of Numida meleagris (helmeted guineafowl), 2970 nucleotides long. Lineage: Eukaryota; Metazoa; Chordata; Aves; Galliformes; Numididae. The record is from Ensembl.